Phasianus colchicus (ring-necked pheasant) is the source of this 2866-nucleotide long non-coding RNA. RefSeq lists it as uncharacterized. Lineage: Eukaryota; Metazoa; Chordata; Aves; Galliformes; Phasianidae. The record is from RefSeq and is a predicted model, not a curated record.
CAUCAUAGAAGGCUACCAGGUUGGUUAAAUGUGAUUUCCCCUUAGUGAAUCCACAUUGACUACUCCUGAUAACCUUCUUCUCUUCGGCGUGCUCAGACAUACACACAGAAUAAGCUGUUCUACCACCUUCCUGAGGAUGAAGUUACUUGGCUGCGAAGGCUGAUGUCUCAACCUUUGCCAAGAUUUCAGAACUGAAUUCAUGGUGUGGGAUUUCUCUACCUUCUGGACUUCUCCAUUUCAAGACAGGAAUAUUUCUGUUUACUCAUAACUUCUUCCCCCUCCCUACCAUUUUUCUCCUGGAAAUCAGGGACACUCUGUGUCUGGGAAGCAAUCUGUGCUGAAGGACACUUGGUGAUGUCCUGUGGGGUACUGGAGCCACAGGAGGAAUCUUCUCAGGAACAGCCUGGAAACUGGUAUUUUCUGCUCCUGGACAAGGACAAUGGGGACUUCACAAAUCUUUCAGUAGAGGAAUGGCACAGUGUUUUCUAAGAUGGACACUUUGCAUCGGGCCAAUCCAAAGCCAGGAUUAAUUUUUGGAAGAGGAGCUCUUCAUGUGACAAACUACAACUGCAUCCAAACAGGUGGGAAAGAGUGGAGCCACCUGGUACACCUCCAUUCUCAAUUCAGUGAUUUUAUUUAGUGGGGAAGAGAUCGGUUUGCAUCUUGUUCUUUAAAGGAGUGUAAAAGUCAGGUAAGAGCCAUAUUUCUGAAAGCCCCAAAGAAGACUUUUCUGGAAGGGUGAAGAGCAUCUUCCUUGCACUGGAGCAGCCUGGAUGGUGAAAACGUCAUGACUCCUAUGUGAAAAAGCUCUGACCUGGAAUCACUGUUGUCCUGAAACCUACUGAUGAAAAAUCACUUCUCUGAACUACUUUGCUGUCAAUCCAGACUGAUUUUACAAAGACCACUGAACCAAGCAAGGUGGUUGUCAAGAAACAUGUUGACCAGUUGUUAAGUUGCUUUCUGGAAUAUUUUCUGUGUUGAGUGAGGCUUCGGCCAAGUGAGCUCUUCCAAAGGAAAGCAAUUUUCCAGAGGACUGAAAGCAGAGAUGCCAUACAGUAGGCUGGAAGGGGUAAAGGCUUCAGCACCUGUGUUUGUACAAGGACCCACUGGGGUGCUUGGUAACACCUUCCCCUUUACAGUGCAUGCAUGAUGGCUCUUGGACUGCUGAUAUUUGCAUUCCUGGAGGCUGAAGAGCUCUAAGAAGGGAUUUAGCUAAUUCCAGUUCUUUGGUAGAUAUUGGUGUCCCAGCGUUGGUCUAGCAAGGUAGACCUUGGUAUCUUGGUUCCUUGGAACAGAUUUCAGUGCAGCCAGAACUUAAAUCACACUCCUUGCUCACAGUGUUUAUGAACCUAAGACAAUCAAGAGGAAAUGCAGUUUUAUUAGCUAAACAUCAUGCUGUUACUUUGCUCCCUACCUGUUCCAGGUUAUAAGAGUACUCUUCGACAAUGUCAGAUGUCCUGUUUUUUUUUGCUUAUCCACCAUCCUCCCUUUUUUCCCAAUUUUGAGGAGCAGAGUGCUUUCAGCUCAGAGACUCCUGCUUUGCACCAGCCAUGACUGGAGGGUGUUGAUGUUGAGGUGAAAGCACCAACCCACAGGUGCUAUGAAAAUAGGAACAUGUAGAGAUGUGGAGCUCCUUCUGGAUCUUUCCCCCUAGCCUUGAGCUUCCAGACCUGCCCAUCUCUGCUGCUUUCACAGUGCUGAGAGAAGAAGCAUAAAACAAGUCAUCAUCCCCAAAGGUAAUGAUCUCUUCGGGCAGGUUGCCAGUCGUUUAAUAUCUAUCUUCGCUAAUAACCUAGAAGUGGAAGUAAAUAGCAUGUUAAUGAAAUGUAUGGGUGAGGCUGGACUAAGGGGAGCUGGAGGGGAUGAUUUGGUCAGAGGAAAUGUGGCAAAAGGAUUCGGUGAGGUCAGAAAGACAAGCAGGAAAUUUCAGCUGGGGAAUAAUUUGAAGGACUAGAAGAGGACAGGGGAGCGGAGAUACAAGGCCAUGCUAAAGUGGGGAGGCAGUAGUCUGUGUCCAUAGGGUGACUGAUGCAGGAACACAGUGCUGGAAUAAUAUGUGACACCUUUGGACCAGGAGGACACUGGGAAGCCUCAUGGCAAGAUGAUCUUAAGGUCCAUUCCAGCCCAAGAUUCUAUGGUUCUAUCAUUAAUAAUGCCAAAAAUAUGUAAAAAAAAGUCAUGCCUCACAUGGAUGGUCUUUAAUGGAAGGCCUGUGAGUAAAAAGCACUGCUAAGCAUGUCUGAAAUUGCAGUGCACUUUGGAGGUAAUUUCAGUCUUUGGAGGAAAGAGGGACAUUAAAGAAUCAUCUAUACAAAAUAGAGAAAGGUAUUUAAACUCAGAGGCACAUCAGUUCCAAAUAGAAACAUCCGCUGAACAGCAAGCUAUUAGGUGCGUCAAGUUCCUUAAGUAGGAAGGGCCAAAAGAGUCUGAUUUCCUUAGGCCAGGUUCCCACAGAAGUUCCCACGAGUACCCUUACGGAUAAAGAGGAGGAGGAAAGGAAUAUGACAAUGCUGGAGCAGAAACAAGCUGCUGUAGCCUGUUUUGAGUGAGAAACUUUAGGAGAGAAGAAAGGCCAUGUGCUGGAGAUGGCUCUGGAUUUGCAUUGGAAAUGAUGACGGUUAUAAUUUACUUAUCCGAUGUUCAAGAGCUGGUUCUUGCAGUCCUGUGUGGAUGGUACUUUUAAUACGAGUGGACAAAGAGUAUGUGGCUAAAAGCCCAAGAGAUCUGUGAGGUAGAACUGGGAUGUUCAUGAAUAGAGAUGGUCAAAUAAUAACAAUUACCGUUUUCCAGUGAUUUUUCUUUUGACAUUUUUGCCAGAUAUUGGGAAAUUAUGAAUGUAUAUACUUCUUUUCACCUCUUCUUCCCU